AAACCAACAGGGAUUGCCUCAGUAGCGGCGAGUGAAGCGGCAAUAGCUCAAAUUUGAAAUCUGGCACUUUCAGUGUCCGAGUUGUAAUUUGAAGAAGGUAUCUUUGGGUCUAGCUCUUGUCUAUGUUUCUUGGAACAGAACGUCACAGAGGGUGAGAAUCCCGUGCGAUGAGAUGUCUAGAUCUAUGUAAAGUUCCUUCGAAGAGUCGAGUUGUUUGGGAAUGCAGCUCUAAGUGGGUGGUAAAUUCCAUCUAAAGCUAAAUAUUGGCGAGAGACCGAUAGCGAACAAGUACAGUGAUGGAAAGAUGAAAAGCACUUUGAAAAGAGGGUGAAAAAGUACGUGAAAUUGUUGAAAGGGAAGGGCUUGAGAUCAGACUUGGUAUUUUGUAUGCUCUCUCUCUUUUUUUAGGGAGGGUGCCUCUAUAGCUUACCGGGCCAGCAUCAGUUUGAACGGUAGGACAAUUGCAGAGAAAUGUGGCUCGGCCUCGGUUGAGUGUUAUAGUCUCUGUCGAUACUGCCAGUUUAGACUGAGGACUGCGGCUUCGGCCUAGGAUGUUGGCAUAAUGAUCUUAAGUCGC
Molecule: ribosomal RNA, 577 nt
Filed under: Lodderomyces beijingensis
Lineage: Eukaryota; Fungi; Ascomycota; Pichiomycetes; Serinales; Debaryomycetaceae
Description: eukaryotic LSU rRNA
Rfam family: Eukaryotic large subunit ribosomal RNA
Source: RNAcentral